UACGGAGGGAGCAAGCGUUACUCGGAAUUAUUGGGCGUAAAGGGCGCGUAGGCGAUUUGAAAAGUCUUGUGUGAAAGCCCCGAGCUUAACUCGGGAAGUGCACAAGAAACUGUUGAAUUUGAGUUCCGGAGAGGAAGGCAGAAUUCCCGGUGUAGCGGUGAAAUGCGUAGAUAUCGGGAGGAAUACCAGUGGCGAUGGCGGCCUUCUGGACGGAUACUGACGCUGAGGCGCGAAAGCCAGGGGAGCAAACGGG
This 253-nucleotide ribosomal RNA is filed under the name uncultured bacterium. RNAcentral describes it as "partial 16S ribosomal RNA". It matches the Rfam family "Bacterial small subunit ribosomal RNA", at positions 524 to 776 of the family's 1533-position model. The record is from RNAcentral.